Molecule: ribosomal RNA, 251 nt
Filed under: uncultured bacterium
Lineage: Bacteria
Description: partial 16S ribosomal RNA
Rfam family: Bacterial small subunit ribosomal RNA
Source: RNAcentral
UACGUAGGGGGCAAGCGUUGUCCGGAAUUACUGGGUGUAAAGGGAGCGCAGGCGGAGAAGCAAGUCAGUGGUGAAAACGAUGGGCUUAACUCAUCGACUGCCAUUGAAACUGUUUCCCUUGAGUGAAGUAGAGGCAGGCGGAAUUCCGAGUGUAGCGGUGAAAUGCGUAGAUAUUCGGAGGAACACCAGUGGCGAAGGCGGCCUGCUGGGCUUUAACUGACGCUGAGGCUCGAAAGUGUGGGGAGCAAACA